AAAGAAACCUCGUCAAGCAGACACUAGUGUAGAUCAAGUGCUGUUGCUCAGUACAGUAUUUACAGUCAUUGUAUCACAGACUAGAUCAGGGUGAGAAUAGGAUCUGGAUUUAGACGAGACUUCAUUAAAAUCAGGAAAGAUGACACACUGGAUUCAAAAAACUAUCAUUGUUCUCAUAUAUGUCUGGGGAAUAGAGUCGCAGGACAAUGUUGAGCAGAAAACAAGAGUUCAAACUGCUUCUGAAAGUGGAGCUGUAAUAAUCAACUGUACAUAUCAAACCCAGCUCUCCCCGACUCUCUUUUGGUACCAGCAAAAAGUAAACGGGGUUCCUAAAUAUAUGCUGAACAGAGCUGGUCAAACUGGAGAUGAAGACAAAGAGUUCAAAGACAGAUUUAAUGCACAUAUCAACACAUCUUCAAAAUCAUUUCCUCUGUUGAUCAAGGACCUGCGUGUGUCUGACUCUGCUGUGUACUACUGUGCUCUGAACCCCACUGUGACUCAAACACACUCAACACUCACACAAAAACCUUCAUAUAUAAAUAUAUUGGCAUCAUGCAGUAGCUGUAGGGAGCCAGUAGAGGGAGAUCAGUAUCAUUUGUUGAUAUGUGGGUGCUGAGAUCUCACUCUCUGUCAGGAACUUGUUAUAUAAAUCCACACAAACUUCCUCUGACUGAUUAAGAUCUAAAGGGUAUAAAUAAAUGCAUGUGUCCCACUCGAAGAUUUUUAGUUAUUCAUCAGAAUAUGUAAACAGCAUUCAUGAGUUCAU
This is a non-coding RNA of Megalobrama amblycephala (Wuchang bream), 766 nucleotides long. Lineage: Eukaryota; Metazoa; Chordata; Actinopteri; Cypriniformes; Xenocyprididae. The record is from the annotation of a RefSeq genome assembly.